This 582-nucleotide ribosomal RNA is filed under the name Salmonella enterica. Its description in RNAcentral is "partial 23S ribosomal RNA". It matches the Rfam family "Bacterial large subunit ribosomal RNA", at positions 2238 to 2819 of the family's 2925-position model. Lineage: Bacteria; Pseudomonadati; Pseudomonadota; Gammaproteobacteria; Enterobacterales; Enterobacteriaceae. The record is from RNAcentral. RNAcentral also lists the same sequence under 2 other names.
AUCCGGGUUGCGGACAGUGUCUGGUGGGUAGUUUGACUGGGGCGGUCUCCUCCUAAAGAGUAACGGAGGAGCACGAAGGUUGGCUAAUCCUGGUCGGACAUCAGGAGGUUAGUGCAAUGGCAUAAGCCAGCUUGACUGCGAGCGUGACGGCGCGAGCAGGUGCGAAAGCAGGUCAUAGUGAUCCGGUGGUUCUGAAUGGAAGGGCCAUCGCUCAACGGAUAAAAGGUACUCCGGGGAUAACAGGCUGAUACCGCCCAAGAGUUCAUAUCGACGGCGGUGUUUGGCACCUCGAUGUCGGCUCAUCACAUCCUGGGGCUGAAGUAGGUCCCAAGGGUAUGGCUGUUCGCCAUUUAAAGUGGUACGCGAGCUGGGUUUAGAACGUCGUGAGACAGUUCGGUCCCUAUCUGCCGUGGGCGCUGGAGAACUGAGGGGGGCUGCUCCUAGUACGAGAGGACCGGAGUGGACGCAUCACUGGUGUUCGGGUUGUCAUGCCAAUGGCACUGCCCGGUAGCUAAAUGCGGAAGAGAUAAGUGCUGAAAGCAUCUAAGCACGAAACUUGCCCCGAGAUGAGUUCUCCCUGAG